CGUAGGGUCCAAGCGUUAUCCGGAAUCACUGGGCGUAAAGCGUGCGUAGGUGGCGCGUUAAGUGAGAUGUUAAAACGUGGGGCUCAACCCUGUCGGUGCAUCCCAUACUGGCGUGCUAGAGGACAGCAGAGGCAAGUGGAAUUAGCAGUGUAGCAGUGAAAUGCGUAGAUAUUGCUAGGAACACCAAUGGCGAAGGCAGCUUGCUGGGCUACUCCUGACACUGAGGUACGAAAGCGUGGGGAGCGAACAGGAUUAGAUACCCUGGUAGUCCACGCCGUAAACGAUGCAUACUAGACGUAUGGGGUAUCGACCCCCUGUGCGUCGAAGCUAACGCGAUAAGUAUGCCGCCUGGGAAGUACGGCCGCAAGGCUA
Molecule: ribosomal RNA, 372 nt
Filed under: uncultured organism
Description: bacterial SSU rRNA
Rfam family: Bacterial small subunit ribosomal RNA
Source: RNAcentral